UGUUCUUUUUAUUAAUAUGUUUAAACAUGUUUCAUUUUAGAGUCCAGAAUAUAUGGGAAGAAUAGUCCUGUGCAAAACUCUGCCAGGACAGAAAUGCCAUUCUUGCCACCUUUUGGCUUAGAUCAAAGCUCUCCUCAACUCAACCCAGCCCUCCUCCUAUUCCUCAUCAGUUCUGUGAAGAUGGGCCACCUCCUGAGAAAGAAGUUUUCACUGAGCAAAGGAGGAGACCUAACCAGUUUGUAGUGCAGCUCUUCACAGUGGAAUCUGCUUAUGGAUAAAGAAAAUAUUUGAGAUAAGUGGAGUUUACCUUCAUAAUACAUGGAACGAAAGUCCACUGAAAUAAACUGAAGCAAUUUGUGACUUUCA
This 366-nucleotide long non-coding RNA is filed under the name Chrysemys picta bellii (western painted turtle). RNAcentral describes it as "lncRNA (ENSCPBG00000013504.1)". The record is from RNAcentral. Lineage: Eukaryota; Metazoa; Chordata; Testudines; Emydidae.